UGGGCGUGCGAACGAGAGAAGGAACCAAGGGAACCAAAACCCUAAACAACCUAAAAUCAUCAAAUUGAAAGGGGAAUCGAGGGCUGAUCGAAUGCAUGAGUCUAGAUACCCUUUAAUCUAAGUGUAUUGAUCAUAAGGAACGUGUCAAGGAGAGCUCAAGCAUAGGAGGAUAACGGGUCAAGAUAAGGCAAGGUGACAAAUACACUUAUUGGAAUACUCAAGGUGAUGAAUGUCGGACUUUCGAAGUGUUGAUAUAAUAAUGAAACGGUUGAAUGUUGAAAGGAUAAUCGGACUGAAGUAACUUAUGCGGUAAAUCCUCAAUUUUGGCGACUUGGAGAAUCGGAGCGAGCGCGUGUUCGUGUUAUGCGAUACCAAACGCUUCCGCUAGUUUGUUCAAAUGUUUUUGACCCAAAAUUUGUUGUAUUGGUUUUUAGUAGUAUCUUGUUGAACGAAUUGUAGAAUUGUAUCUAGUUUGUUUAUGUUUAAAACAGGGGUAUGCUCGUUUUAUGGACGGGUCAUGCCCGAUUUUUUGUUAAAUUAUAGUUUGAUAAUAUCACAUUUAGGA
Molecule: long non-coding RNA, 565 nt
Filed under: Helianthus annuus (common sunflower)
Lineage: Eukaryota; Viridiplantae; Streptophyta; Magnoliopsida; Asterales; Asteraceae
Description: hypothetical non coding rna
Source: RNAcentral